UGGGGGAUAGUUUAGCGGUAGAAUUCUCGGCUCUGGACCGAGCGGCCCUGGUUCGAAUCCAGGUCCCCCAGCCA
Molecule: transfer RNA, 74 nt
Filed under: Rhodospirillales bacterium
Lineage: Bacteria; Pseudomonadati; Pseudomonadota; Alphaproteobacteria; Rhodospirillales
Also listed under: 3 other names
Description: tRNA-Gln
Rfam family: tRNA
About the family: Transfer RNA (tRNA) molecules are approximately 80 nucleotides in length. Their secondary structure includes four short double-helical elements and three loops (D, anti-codon, and T loops).
Source: RNAcentral